GAUGAACGCCGGCGGCGUGCUUAACACAUGCAAGUCGAGCGAGAAGUUUUGAAAAGAUUCUUCGGAUGAAAUUUAAAAUGGAAAGCGGCGGACGGGUGAGUAACGCGUAGGCAACCUGCCCCAUACAAAGGGAUAGCAUUUGGAAACGAAUAUUAAUACCUUAUGAAACUUAACUAGUGCAUGCUAGGUAGGUCAAAGAUUUAUCGGUAUGGGAUGGGCCUGCGCCUGAUUAGCUAGUUGGUGAGGUAACGGCUCACCAAGGCGACGAUCAGUAGCCGACCUGAGAGGGUGAACGGCCACAUUGGAACUGAGACACGGUCCAAACUCCUACGGGAGGCAGCAGUGGGGAUUAUUGCACAAUGGGGGAAACCCUGAUGCAGCAACGCCGCGUGAACGAUGAAGGCCUUUGGGUCGUAAAGUUCUGUUCUAGGUGAUGAAAACUGACAGUAACCUAGGAGAAAGCCCCGGCUAACUCCGUG
This 479-nucleotide ribosomal RNA is filed under the name uncultured bacterium. RNAcentral describes it as "partial 16S ribosomal RNA". It matches the Rfam family "Bacterial small subunit ribosomal RNA", at positions 28 to 507 of the family's 1533-position model. The record is from RNAcentral.